UAGGGAAUCUUCCGCAAUGGACGCAAGUCUGACGGAGCAACGCCGCGGGAGUGAAGAAGGAUUUCGGUUCGUAAAACUCUGUUGUUAGAGAAGAACAGCGCAUAGAGUAACUGUUAUGCGUGUGACGGUAUCUAACCAGAAAGCCACGGCUAACUACGUGCCAGCAGCCGCGGUAAUACGUAGGUGGCAAGCGUUGUCCGGAUUUAUUGGGCGUAAAGCGAGCGCAGGCGGUCAAUUAAGUCUGAUGUGAAAGCCCCCGGCUCAACCGGGGAGGGUCAUUGGAAACUGGUUGACUUGAGUGCAGAAGAGGAGAGUGGAAUUCCAUGUGUAGCGGUGAAAUGCGUAGAUAUAUGGAGGAACACCAGUGGCGAAGGCGACUCUCUGGUCUGUAACUGACGCUGAGGUUCGAAAGCGUGGGUAGCAAACAGG
RNAcentral lists this ribosomal RNA (429 nucleotides) under Bacteroidota bacterium. Its description in RNAcentral is "Bacteroidetes bacterium partial 16S ribosomal RNA". It matches the Rfam family "Bacterial small subunit ribosomal RNA", at positions 355 to 776 of the family's 1533-position model. The record is from RNAcentral. Lineage: Bacteria; Pseudomonadati; Bacteroidota.